This 268-nucleotide unclassified non-coding RNA is filed under the name Hevea brasiliensis (rubber tree). The record is from RNAcentral. Lineage: Eukaryota; Viridiplantae; Streptophyta; Magnoliopsida; Malpighiales; Euphorbiaceae.
GUUAAAGUAUACAACACAGUUGAAUAUCGUUUCGGGAAACAAUGUCUGGGCCUCAAUUUCACACGCAACAUACGCAAGCUGGACGUGAUGUCAACAAUGUCGCUGGGGACCAAAAAAACCGUGGCGACACUGCUAACCAAAUCGUCAAUAAUCCUGUUAAGCAAACCCUUAAAGCUGAUGUUGACCAAUCCGUGAAGAACAUUGCCAGCAACAACAAGAACCAGGUGGCCGUUGGCGGCAGCAACAAAAUGAAUGAGCAGAAGGGCAA